GGUGACUCAGUGGUAGAGUGCUUGCCUUGCAUGCAUGAGGUCCUGAGUUCGAUUCCUCAGCACCA
Molecule: transfer RNA, 65 nt
Filed under: Dipodomys ordii (Ord's kangaroo rat)
Lineage: Eukaryota; Metazoa; Chordata; Mammalia; Rodentia; Heteromyidae
Rfam family: tRNA
About the family: Transfer RNA (tRNA) molecules are approximately 80 nucleotides in length. Their secondary structure includes four short double-helical elements and three loops (D, anti-codon, and T loops).
Source: Rfam by way of RNAcentral